This 972-nucleotide ribosomal RNA is filed under the name Fissurina aff. nitidescens Mangold 32d1. RNAcentral describes it as "eukaryotic LSU rRNA". It matches the Rfam family "Eukaryotic large subunit ribosomal RNA", at positions 143 to 1083 of the family's 3401-position model. Lineage: Eukaryota; Fungi; Ascomycota; Lecanoromycetes; Ostropales; Graphidaceae. The record is from RNAcentral.
UUGUAGUCUGCAGAAGGUGCCUCGGGCGAGAAGCCAGCCUAAGUUCCUUGGAACAGGACGUCACAGAGGGUGAGAAUCCCGUACGUGGCCGGCGGUCGAGCCCGUGUGAGGCCCUUUCGACGAGUCGAGUUGUUUGGGAAUGCAGCUCUAAAUGGGUGGUAAAUUUCAUCUAAAGCUAAAUACCGGCCAGAGACCGAUAGCGCACAAGUAGAGUGAUCGAAAGAUGAAAAGCACUUUGAAAAGAGAGUUAAACAGUACGUGAAAUUGUUGAAAGGGAAGCGCUUGCAACCAGACUCGCACGCGGGGGCUCAGCCUCCCUCCGGGGCGGUGCACUCCCCCGCGAUCGGGCCAGCAUCGGUUCCGGCGGCUCGAUAAAGGCCCCGGGAAUGUAGUUCUCUCCGGGGAAUGUUAUAGCCCGGGGCGAAAUGGGGCCUGCCGGGACCGAGGACCGCGCAUUUUUGCUAGGAUGCUGGCGUAAUGGUUGUCAGCGGCCCGUCUUGGUACGAAAAAACACUCCCUCCCGCCGUGAAAACUUUGCUAACCUCUCGAUAGAAACACGGACCAAGGAGUCAAUUUACGGGGCGAGUGUUAGGGCGUAAAACCCUUGCGCGUAGUGAAAGCAAACGGAGGUGGGAGCCCUCGGGCGCACCAUCGACCGAUCCUGAUGUCUUCGGAUGGAUUUGAGUAAGAGCCUCGUGAAUUGGACCCGAAAGAUGGUGAGCUAUGCGUGGGUAGACUGAAGCCAGAGGAAACUCUGGUGGAGGGUCGCAGCGGUUCUGACGUGCAAAUCGAUCGUCAAACCUGCGUAUAGGGGCGAAAGACUAAUCGAACCAUCUAGUAGCUGGUUCCUGUCGAAGUUUCCCUCAGGAUAGCAGCAACGACCACAGUCUCAUGAGGUAGAGCGAACGAUUAGAGGCCUUGGGGUUGAAACAACCUUAACCUAUUCUCGAACUUCGAAUAUGUGAGAAGUCC